CUUCAUUUCCAUCAUCGAGUAAUUCUUGUCUUUCACUCCAACAAAAGAAUUGCAGAUAAAAAAACCUUUGGGUUUUGUCUAAAAAUUGAUGAUUUGAGCCUGUCAAUUGUAGGUGCAGUAUGAGAGUGUCUGUCGAUAAUGCGCAGUUAUAGGUGCUGCAGGGAUCAUGUCACCGUUACCGUCUAAGAGCUACAGAUUCAAGGUACUUAUUAACUAUAUCAGUCUCCUGCUUGAACUCAUCCAAUCACUCUUCAUCAAGUUGCAACCACCAUUCCGCAUCAAGAGGUACCAAGUGCACCAGGAAUGGGACGAUGGAUGGUUUGUCGCACUUGAGGUUACAGGGCCGGCCCUGAGGCAAUGCAGUCAAAGGCUAUCUUUGGGGCAUCACGAUCAGGGGGGAAUCAAAAAAAAAAAUUUAUUAGGGGAGUUUUAUGUUAUAGCAGAAAACUGGGGGUCUAGAAAAGAAUUAUAAAUACAAAAUAUGAUGCAUUAUUAAAAGAACAAAGGGCAUGUUACGAAGAAGGAGUUAUAAGAGUUAACACUAAAUACAUAACAAGUGGGACGGAUUUCACAUUUUCACUUCAGAAUUUUUUUUUUUGUUAAACUUCUCGUUCUCUCCGUCGGCUGAAAACUCCAUUGCUCCAGGCUUCCAGCCUCCAUGAUGGUGUGAUCCUUCCUAUUUUUCUUCCCAACAAGUCAACAACAAUUAAAUCU
Papaver somniferum (opium poppy) is the source of this 714-nucleotide RNA transcript. RefSeq lists it as uncharacterized. The record is from RefSeq and is a predicted model, not a curated record. The transcript is spliced from 3 exons. NCBI's taxonomy places the organism in Eukaryota, Viridiplantae, Streptophyta, Magnoliopsida, Ranunculales, Papaveraceae.